This 183-nucleotide unclassified non-coding RNA is filed under the name plant metagenome. RNAcentral describes it as "partial contains 5.8S ribosomal RNA, internal transcribed spacer 2, and large subunit ribosomal RNA". The record is from RNAcentral.
CAGGGCGUGCUGGGCUCGUUCGCCGCGCUGCUGGCCGGCGGGGCCGUCCUGCUGGGGGUGUUCUUCGUGGCCGCCCGCCGCAUGCGCAUCGAGGAGGUCAAUUCGCUGGUCGGCAUGGUCCGCGGGCGCCUGGGUCGAUGAGGCGGUCCGGGGUAGGCGCACAACCAUCGUCCGCCACCGUGU